RNAcentral lists this ribosomal RNA (406 nucleotides) under uncultured bacterium. Its description in RNAcentral is "partial 16S ribosomal RNA". It matches the Rfam family "Bacterial small subunit ribosomal RNA", at positions 30 to 526 of the family's 1533-position model. The record is from RNAcentral.
AUUGAACGCUAGCGGCAGGCCUAACACAUGCAAGUAGGGCGCGCGGCGGACGGGUGCGUAAUGUAUGGGGAUCUGCCUGAUGGAGGGGGAUAACUACUGGAAACGGUAGCUAAUACCGCAUCCCAUCAGAUGAACCCAUAUGGGAUUAGCUUGUAGGUGAGGUAACUGCUCACCGAGGCGACGAUCCCUAGCUGGUCUGAGAGGAUGAUCAUACAUACUGGGACUGAGACACGGCCCAGAUUCCUAAGGGAGGCAGCAGGGGGGAAUAUUGCACAAGGGGGGAAAGCCUGAUGCAGACAUGCGGGGUGUAUGAAGAAGGCCUUCGGGUUGUAAAGUACUUUCAGUCGGGAGGCGUUACCGACAGAAGAAGCACCGGCUAACUCCGUGCCAGCAGCCGCGGUAAUUC